ACUUUCAACAACGGAUCUCUUGGUUCUGGCAUCGAUGAAGAACGCAGCGAAAUGCGAUAAAGUAAUGUGAAUUGCAGAAUUCAGUGAACCAUCGAAUCUUUGAACGCACAUUGCGCCCGCCAGCACUCUGGCGGGCAUGCCUGUCCGAGCGUCAUCUC
Molecule: ribosomal RNA, 158 nt
Filed under: Ophiocordyceps sinensis
Lineage: Eukaryota; Fungi; Ascomycota; Sordariomycetes; Hypocreales; Ophiocordycipitaceae
Description: 5.8S ribosomal RNA
Rfam family: 5.8S ribosomal RNA
About the family: 5.8S ribosomal RNA (5.8S rRNA) is a component of the large subunit of the eukaryotic ribosome.
Source: RNAcentral